RNAcentral lists this ribosomal RNA (253 nucleotides) under uncultured bacterium. RNAcentral's name for it is "partial 16S ribosomal RNA". It matches the Rfam family "Bacterial small subunit ribosomal RNA", at positions 524 to 776 of the family's 1533-position model. The record is from RNAcentral.
UACGUAGGGUGCAAGCGUUAAUCGGAAUUACUGGGCGUAAAGCGUGCGCAGGCGGUUGUGUAAGACAGAUGUGAAAUCCCCGGGCUCAACCUGGGAACUGCAUUUGUGACUGCACGGCUGGAGUGCGGCAGAGGGGGAUGGAAUUCCGCGUGUAGCAGUGAAAUGCGUAGAUAUGCGGAGGAACACCGAUGGCGAAGGCGACACCCUGGACCAGCACUGACACUGAGGCACGAAAGCGUGGGGAGCAAACAGG